This 588-nucleotide ribosomal RNA is filed under the name Aspergillus sp. BK3. RNAcentral describes it as "eukaryotic LSU rRNA". The stretch from base 198 to 351 matches the Rfam family "5.8S ribosomal RNA". The record is from RNAcentral. Lineage: Eukaryota; Fungi; Ascomycota; Eurotiomycetes; Eurotiales; Aspergillaceae.
CGUAAUGCUUCUGUAAAGGGUACCUGCGGAAGGAUCAUUACCGAGUGCAGGUCUGCCCCCGGGCAGGCCUAACCUCCCACCCGUGAAUACCUGACCAACGUUGCUUCGGCGGUGCGCCCCCCCCGGGGGUAGCCGCCGGAGACCACACCGAACCUCCUGUCUUUAGUGUUGUCUGAGCUUGAUAGCAAACCUAUUAAAACUUUCAACAAUGGAUCUCUUGGUUCCGGCAUCGAUGAAGAACGCAGCGAACUGCGAUAAGUAAUGUGAAUUGCAGAAUUCAGUGAAUCAUCGAGUCUUUGAACGCACAUUGCGCCCCCUGGCAUUCCGGGGGGCAUGCCUGUCCGAGCGUCAUUGCUGCCCUUCAAGCCCGGCUUGUGUGUUGGGUCGUCGUCCCCCCCGGGGGACGGGCCCGAAAGGCAGCGGCGGCACCGCGUCCGGUCCUCGAGCGUAUGGGGCUUUGUCACCCGCUCGAUUAGGGCCGGCCGGGCGCCAGCCGGCGUCUCCAACCUUCUAUUUUACCAGGUUGACCUCGGAUCAGGUAGGGAUACCCGCUGAACUUAAGCAUAUCAUAAGCGGGAGGAAACAUUA